RNAcentral lists this ribosomal RNA (397 nucleotides) under uncultured bacterium. RNAcentral's name for it is "partial 16S ribosomal RNA". It matches the Rfam family "Bacterial small subunit ribosomal RNA", at positions 523 to 918 of the family's 1533-position model. The record is from RNAcentral.
AUACGUAGGUGGCAAGCGUUGUCCGGAAUUAUUGGGCGUAAAGCGCGCGCAGGCGGUCCUUUAAGUCUGAUGUGAAAGCCCACGGCUCAACCGGGGAGGGUCAUUGGAAACUGGGGGACUUGAGUGCAGAAGGGGAAAGUGGAAUUCCAAGUGUAGCGGUGAAAUGCGUAGAGAUUUGGAGGAACACCAGUGGCGAAGGCGACUUUCUGGUCUGUAACUGACGCUGAGGCGCGAAAGCGUGGGGAGCAAACAGGAUUAGAUACCCUGGUAGUCCACGCCGUAAACGAUGAGUGCUAAGUGUUAGGGGGUUUCCGCCCCUUAGUGCUGCAGCUAACGCAUUAAGCACUCCGCCUGGGGAGUACGGUCGCAAGACUGAAACUCAAAUGAAUUGACGGGG